CGCAUCUGUGCAUGCAGCAUAUCAAUAAGCGGAGGAAAAGAAACUAACAAGGAUUCCCUCAGUAACGGCGAGUGAAGCGGGAAGAGCUCAAAUUUGAAAUCUUGAAAGGUCACCUUUCACGAAUUGUAGUUUAAAGAAGUGUUUUCUGUUACGAUCGUAAUAUAAGUUCUUUGGAAUAGGACAUCACAGAGGGUGAGAAUCCCGUCUAUGAUUGCGAUUUGUAGCUUUGUGAUACACUUUCAAAGAGUCGGGUUGUUUGGGAAUGCAGCCCAAAAUGGGAGGUAAAUUUCUUCUAAGGCUAAAUAUUGGCGAGAGACCGAUAGCGAACAAGUACCGUGAGGGAAAGAUGAAAAGAACUUUGAAAAGAGAGUUAAAUAGUACGUGAAAUUGUCAAAAGGGAAGCGUUUAACACCAGUGUUGUUUUCUGAAAAUCAACCUCUGUUAGCUUUAUGCAUGUUUGUUUAGACCUAAUCAGCUAUCUUGCAUGUUCUAUUGUUUGCAGUGGUGCACUUUUCAGUUUACAGGUCAACAUCAGUUUUUUUUACCGUAAAAAAGUUAAAGAAAGGUAGCUCAUGGCUCCGGUCGUGAGUGUUAUAGUCUUUUUCCUAUGCGGUAGGAGAGACUGAGGUCUGCAGUGUAGGCUAUUUGGCUAGAUACUCAGGUGCUAUGCGAUACCAUUUCAUAAACAACUUGUUGAUUAUGUCUUGUCUAUUGCAUACUCGCUUGUACUAUCAUACCUACGCUUAGGAUGUUGACGAUCAGCUGAGCGCG
Molecule: ribosomal RNA, 771 nt
Filed under: uncultured Neocallimastigales
Lineage: Eukaryota; Fungi; Neocallimastigomycota; Neocallimastigomycetes; Neocallimastigales
Description: partial large subunit ribosomal RNA
Rfam family: Eukaryotic large subunit ribosomal RNA
Source: RNAcentral